RNAcentral lists this ribosomal RNA (253 nucleotides) under uncultured bacterium. Its description in RNAcentral is "partial 16S ribosomal RNA". It matches the Rfam family "Bacterial small subunit ribosomal RNA", at positions 524 to 776 of the family's 1533-position model. The record is from RNAcentral.
UACGUAGGGUGCGAGCGUUAAUCGGAAUUACUGGGCGUAAAGCGUGCGCAGGCGGUUUUGUAAGCCAGAUGUGAAAUCCCCGGGCUUAACCUGGGAAUGGCAUUUGGGACUGCAAGGCUCGAGUGCGGCAGAGGAGACUGGAAUUCCUGGUGUAGCAGUGAAAUGCGUAGAUAUCAGGAGGAACACCGAUGGCGAAGGCGGCUCACUGGACCGGUACUGACGCUGAGGCGCGAAAGCGUGGGUAGCAAACAGG